AUUAUUGUGGAAUCAUCUGUCUCCUGAAGUCAUCUUGUGAUAUACGCUGUGGACAGAAAAAGAUUAAAGAAGCAGGCCAGCGAGGGUGUACUUAUGCAACGUGACAAGAACAUGCACAAGGAAGGGUGAUGUCAUAAUGGAUCUCUCUACCCUUCAAGGUAUGAAGGAGUUCAGUCUGACGUUUUUUUGACUGGCAGAGGUGGAAGAGUAGACAUCUGUUCAAAAGAGGGCUGUCAAAGAAUCCGCUCACAGGUGACUUUUGGCAAAUUAACUGCAUCAUUCACACCUUGUAGCCCUCUAGCCCUCAUCUGUGAUAUCUGUGAUCCCAUUCAUCUGCUUUUUUUUUUUUUUUUGGAUGGAGUGGGACAGUGGACAGAGAAGGCAAGUGUAUUCUCUGGUACCCAAGCCAAGUGACAGGAACAAGACAGUCUUCCUGCAGUCUAACAUUGAUCACCAACUAGUA
Molecule: long non-coding RNA, 463 nt
Filed under: Mus pahari (shrew mouse)
Lineage: Eukaryota; Metazoa; Chordata; Mammalia; Rodentia; Muridae
Description: predicted gene 11680 (MGP_PahariEiJ_G0004672.1)
Source: RNAcentral